RNAcentral lists this ribosomal RNA (253 nucleotides) under uncultured bacterium. RNAcentral describes it as "partial 16S ribosomal RNA". It matches the Rfam family "Bacterial small subunit ribosomal RNA", at positions 524 to 776 of the family's 1533-position model. The record is from RNAcentral.
UACGUAGGGACCAAGCGUUGUCCGGAAUCAUUGGGCGUAAAGAGCGUGUAGGCGGCUUGUUAAGUCUUGCGUGAAAUCUCGGGGCUCAACCCCGAGCGGUCGUGAGAAACUGGCAGGCUAGAGUGCGGGAGAGGAGAGUGGAAUUCCUGGUGUAGCGGUGAAAUGCGCAGAUAUCAGGAGGAACACCGGUGGCGAAGGCGGAUCUCUGGGCCUUACCUGACGCUGAGGCGCGAAAGCUAGGGGAGCGAACAGG